UACAGAGGGUGCAAGCGUUAAUCGGAGUUACUGGGCGUAAAGGGCGCGUAGGCGGACUUUUAAGUCGGGUGUGAAAUCCCUGGGCUCAACCUAGGAAUUGCAUUCGAUACUGGGAGUCUAGAGUAUGGUAGAGGAAAGUGGAAUUCCCGGUGUAGUAGUAAAAUACGUAGAUAUCGGGAGGAACACCAGUGGCGAAGGCGGCUUUCUGGCCCAAUACUGACGCUGAGGCGCGAAAGCGUGGGGAGCAAACAGG
RNAcentral lists this ribosomal RNA (253 nucleotides) under uncultured bacterium. RNAcentral describes it as "partial 16S ribosomal RNA". It matches the Rfam family "Bacterial small subunit ribosomal RNA", at positions 524 to 776 of the family's 1533-position model. The record is from RNAcentral.